RNAcentral lists this ribosomal RNA (492 nucleotides) under uncultured bacterium. RNAcentral describes it as "partial 16S ribosomal RNA". It matches the Rfam family "Bacterial small subunit ribosomal RNA", at positions 29 to 507 of the family's 1533-position model. The record is from RNAcentral.
AGUGAACGCUGGCGGUAGGCCUAACACAUGCAAGUCGAACGGCAGCACAGUAAGAGCUUGCUCUUACGGGUGGCGAGUGGCGGACGGGUGAGGAAUACAUCGGAAUCUACUUUUUCGUGGGGGAUAACGUAGGGAAACUUACGCUAAUACCGCAUACGACCUACGGGUGAAAGCAGGGGAUCUUCGGACCUUGCGCGAUUGAAUGAGCCGAUGUCGGAUUAGCUAGUUGGCGGGGUAAAGGCCCACCAAGGCGACGAUCCGUAGCUGGUCUGAGAGGAUGAUCAGCCACACUGGAACUGAGACACGGUCCAGACUCCUACGGAAGGCAGCAGUGGGGAAUAUUGGACAAUGGGCGCAAGCCUGAUCCAGCCAUACCGCGUGGGUGAAGAAGGCCGUCGGGUUGUAAAGCCCUUUUGUUGGGAAAGAAAAGCAGCAGGUUAAUACCCCGCUGUUCUGACGGUACCCAAAGAAUAAGCACCGGCUAACUUCGUG